AAACCAGGCAGCAACUAGGAAGAGAAAAAAAUCGGGAAGAAAGGAAGGGAAAAAAAGGAAGAAAAGAAGAAAGGGAAGAAAAAAAUGGUAAGAUUGGAUCUCUUCAAGCCUGAAUUUAAUCUAUUUAUUUGUUUCAAGUGAUAAAAGAAUGAUUUAUGUUGAAUUUCUAGGGUGUUAACUUGUGGUAAAAAAUUUUAGAUUUAUGAGAUAUGAGUACAAGUUGGAGUUCUAGUUUCUAGAUUUUUUGAAUUUCCAUUCAAUCAAGGUUAGUAAUACUAUUUUUAGUAAACCCUAAAUUUCUAAUUGAAUGCUUGAGGAAAGAUAGUUUGGGGAAAUUAUAAACUUGAUGAAAUACACACUUGAAAGGAUUAAUAUAAUGAACAAGAUGUAAAUUUAAUUGGUUGAAUUAUGGUUAUUAGUUUUACUAGAUUUGGAGGAUGGGAAAAAUUAUUAUUAUGAGGGGAUGAAGGUUAUUUGAUGAAUUAGAUACUAGUGAAUGGAUUGGUAGGUGGAAUUAGCUCUAAGUGAUUAAAGGAAAUUUGGGAAAAAUUAUUCAAGUAUCGAGAAGUCAAUUUUAGUAUUCGAUUAAUAAUAUUAAGAGAUACUUUGUAUGGGAGUUGUUAAAUUAGUUAUUUUACAUCUUAUUUCAGGUGGUGACGUGAAAGCUUGGCAAGGCUUGUAAAUUUACCAGAUUGCUAUCCAGAGAUCUAUGAGUGGAUAUAAAAACUUAUUUUUCAAAAUUAGUAUUUAUUAAAUUUAUGUUAGAUCAGAAAACUUGUAUCUCAUACAGUUGAUUUUAUAGUAUGAUUUUAAGAAUAAAGUGGAUUUAUAAUCUGUUGUUUUUGAAGUUAAAUUCAAUUUAGUUAAAUUAUUUCAUUAUCGUAUUAUUUUAGUAUUAAAUAUUUCAGCAUAUUUAAAGUUCUUUGUAAAACCACCAUAAAGUAUCCAGGUGAUUUUACUCUAGUCUGCACUUAUGUGAAUGUAUUUCUAUAGUGUAUGAUCAGUUAAGGUUAUUUUACCCGCUUUGCACUAGUGUGAAUGUAUUUCCACGGUGCAUGACCAGUUAUGGUGAUCUUAACCACUCUGUACUAUUGUGAAUGUGUUCUAUAGUAUAUGACCAGAUUAUUAGAGGUCUUUGGGACCCUCUCUCAUACUCACAUACGCUUUAGGCUGUGUACUAGGGUGAUUAGCUUUUGGGACAGCUCUGCAUACGUAUGACUAGAUUAUCAGAUUAGAAUGACUUUGCUUUGUAUAUCGAGAUUACUCUGUACAUGAGCAAAGCUAUUCAUUGGGUAUCUUUUUGGUGUGAUUUUUCAGUAUUUCUACAGCUUAUCAGAUUUUAGAUGAUAUAAUUCAGUCUAUUCAGUUCUAAGAAUAAAGCUUCCAGCUUAUAGUAUUGAACAACAUCAAUAUUUUAUAGAUUUUCAUGGAUGUUAGAUUAUUUAUAUUCAUCAUAUUUUAUAGUUAAUGAACUAGAAUAAAGAACAAAGAAUUUUAUGAUCCAAUCAUGUUUCUGUUUUCAAAGUGCUACUAGUUUUCAGAAUUUCUCAAAGUUUUCAUAGAGCAAGAAUUUUUAGAAAAUAUGCUUAAAUGAGAAAAGUUUACUUAUUUGCAAAUCAUCCACUCAUUGAACUUUAAGCUCAUAUAUUUUUUACCUUUUUCUUUAUCAGACAGAUAGCAGUCGAAUUGAGCAGCUUUGAAGCUUGUCAAACCACCGAAUUGAGCCACGCAUCAUAGGUUGUAUGACAUCCUUUAUCAGAUUAUGAAUUAUGUGUUCUUUUGGAAUACAAGUAUCUUAAAUCAAAAAAGUUCAUUAAGGGCUCAUUAGAUAUUUGCUAUCUUUAGUAUAUUUGAGGAUCGUUGGUUGUAAAGCAAUUAAAUGUUGAUUUGCCAGCAUUUUAUUUGAAUAGUUUAUAUUUUGAGGGACUAUCAU
Molecule: long non-coding RNA, 1933 nt
Filed under: Olea europaea subsp. europaea
Lineage: Eukaryota; Viridiplantae; Streptophyta; Magnoliopsida; Lamiales; Oleaceae
Source: RNAcentral